This 971-nucleotide long non-coding RNA is filed under the name Scleropages formosus (Asian bonytongue). RNAcentral describes it as "lncRNA (ENSSFOG00015029810.1)". The record is from RNAcentral. Lineage: Eukaryota; Metazoa; Chordata; Actinopteri; Osteoglossiformes; Osteoglossidae.
CGUCACUAGUAUUUUUCAUUGGCAAACGGGGUCUAAUCUUGAUCAGAAGCGCACUCUCCCGAAGUAACUUCUGAUGAUUUCCAUAAAAGCGACUAACAAAGCAAGUCAUAUUUCCUAUUUGAAAUCACAAAGUUGCAUUUAUUCUGUGUCUUACGGUAAACACGGAACACUGCGCGUGGGCGCGAUGACGUCUCAGUUAAGGGCGCCGAGUUGGAAAGAGGAAAACGGUACACAGAAAGGCAGCUAAUCUUAACAAGUCGGAUUAAUAGAUGCUUUAGCGUAUGUGGUGAAUCGCAAAAGAAAUAUUUGUUGACGAUGUCGACUGACUUGGAGAAGGCGAUGGAAGAGUACGAGGCCGCGUGUGCCACCCUGUCCGAGGAGCUUGCGGGGCUAUCGGAGAGACUGGACGAACUGGUGCGGUACCAGGGCAGCCUUCUGACCACCAACUCUCUGCUGAUUUCUUGGAUGCAAAAUGUGGAAGAGCUGUGGAAGCACAGGAGACAGGCUCACCUCACCUUUGAUGCCUGAAUCAUGCAGGUCCAGAAUGAAGAUGAAGGGCAGGUGCUGAUGCUAUGACUUUUGCAUCUUUAAAACCCAAUGCCUACACUAACUGGGGCUGAACGCCCAGACUGCAGCCGAUCGCUGUGUGCUUGAGUUACAGCACAGCCCUUGUCUGUACACAAUAUUAUUAAUAAUACUAUAAUAAUACUGAUCACAUAGACUGUCACUCUGUUGGCCUCUGUCGCGUGUCAUACAGUCACUGGCCACCAGAUGGCGCAAAACGGUCAAUUCUGCCCCUGUAUUUUUGCAUAUCUGGUUUUAUAGCCAGAUGAACGCUGGACAGUUGUGUGUGUGUGUAUAUAAUAUAUCGUGGUUAACAAGCAUAUCGGCACAAGAUAUGCUUUGUGGGAUGUUUUGUAUUCCCCCUCCCUUUAAAUAAAAGUCAUUUUGGGCAUGAGUGUAUAGGAAAC